This 139-nucleotide small nuclear RNA is filed under the name Monopterus albus (swamp eel). RNAcentral's name for it is "U1 spliceosomal RNA (ENSMALG00000003465.1)". It matches the Rfam family "U1 spliceosomal RNA". Rfam says of the family: U1 is a small nuclear RNA (snRNA) component of the spliceosome (involved in pre-mRNA splicing). Its 5' end forms complementary base pairs with the 5' splice junction, thus defining the 5' donor site of an intron. Lineage: Eukaryota; Metazoa; Chordata; Actinopteri; Synbranchiformes; Synbranchidae. The record is from RNAcentral.
AUAUUUACCUGGCAGGGGAGAUACCAUGAUCAAGAAGGUGGUUCACCCAGGGCGAGGCUCAAGACACUGACACCACCCCUCCACCCCCGACCUAUUGUUGUUUUAAAUGUGCUGUACAAAUAAAUUUAGAUUUGAUUAC